AUCAUGGCUCAGAAUCAACGCUGGCGGCGUACCUAACACAUGCAAGUCGAACGCGACUGAGUGGCUUCGGUCCUCAGUUGAGUGGCAAACGGGUGAGUAACGCGUGGGUGAUCUACCUCUGGGUGGGGGAUAACACUCCGAAAGGAGUGCUAAUACCGCAUGACAUCCUGUUUUUUGGAUGAAUGGAGAUCAAAGCCGGGGAUCGCAAGACCUGGCGCCUGGAGAGGAGCCCGCGUCCGAUUAGCUAGUUGGUGGGGUAACGGCCUACCAAGGCGACGAUCGGUAGCCGGCCUGAGAGGGCGGACGGCCACACUGGGACUGAGACACGGCCCAGACUCCUACGGGAGGCAGCAGUGGGGAAUUGUUCGCAAUGGACGAAAGUCUGACGACGCAACGCCGCGUGAAGGAUGAAGGUCUUCGGAUUGUAAACUUCUGUUGGGUGGGAAGAAAUGUUUCCGGAUCAAUACCCCGGAAAUCUGACGGUACCACCUGAGGAAGCCCCGGCUAACUCUGUGCCAGCAGCCGCGGCAAUACAGAGGGGGCAAGCGUUGUUCGGAAUUACUGGGCGUAAAGGGCGCGUAGGCGGCCUACUAAGUCACGACGUGAAAUCCCUCGGCUCAACCGGGGAACUGCGUCUGAUACUGGUGGGCUUGAGUUCGGGAG
RNAcentral lists this ribosomal RNA (663 nucleotides) under uncultured bacterium. Its description in RNAcentral is "bacterial SSU rRNA". It matches the Rfam family "Bacterial small subunit ribosomal RNA", at positions 16 to 654 of the family's 1533-position model. The record is from RNAcentral.